This 550-nucleotide ribosomal RNA is filed under the name uncultured bacterium. Its description in RNAcentral is "bacterial SSU rRNA". It matches the Rfam family "Bacterial small subunit ribosomal RNA", at positions 355 to 896 of the family's 1533-position model. The record is from RNAcentral.
UAGGGAAUCUUCGGCAAUGGGGGCAACCCUGACCGAGCAACGCCGCGUGAGUGAAGAAGGUUUUCGGAUCGUAAAGCUCUGUUGUAAGUCAAGAACGAGUGUGAGAGUGGAAAGUUCACACUGUGACGGUAGCUUACCAGAAAGGGACGGCUAACUACGUGCCAGCAGCCGCGGUAAUACGUAGGUCCCGAGCGUUGUCCGAAUUUAUUGGGCGUAAAGCGAGCGCAGGCGGUUUGAUAAGUCUGAAGUUAAAGGCUGUGGCUCAACCAUAGUUCGCUUUGGAAACUGUCAAACUUGAGUGCAGAAGGGGAGAGUGGAAUUCCAUGUGUAGCGGUGAAAUGCGUAGAUAUAUGGAGGAACACCGGUGGCGAAAGCGGCUCUCUGGUCUGUAACUGACGCUGAGGCUCGAAAGCGUGGGGAGCGAACAGGAUUAGAUACCCUGGUAGUCCACGCCGUAAACGAUGAGUGCUAGGUGUUGGAUCCUUUCCGGGAUUCAGUGCCGCAGCUAACGCAUUAAGCACUCCGCCUGGGGAGUACGACCGCAAGGUUG